This 84-nucleotide transfer RNA is filed under the name Loxodonta africana (African savanna elephant). Its description in RNAcentral is "tRNA-Leu (CAA) (tRNA-Leu-CAA-11-1)". It matches the Rfam family "tRNA". From Rfam's summary of the family: Transfer RNA (tRNA) molecules are approximately 80 nucleotides in length. Their secondary structure includes four short double-helical elements and three loops (D, anti-codon, and T loops). Lineage: Eukaryota; Metazoa; Chordata; Mammalia; Proboscidea; Elephantidae. The record is from RNAcentral.
GUAAGGAUGGCCGAGUGGUCUAAGGCUCCAGACUCAAGUUCUGGUCUCCGAAUGGAGGUGUGGGUUCGAAUCCCACUUCUGACA